UUUAAGGCAAUUCAAUUGAUCCUUCUCCUAAAUUCUAAUACACCAUUCAAAUUUUGGUUGCAAUUGUUACAAAACUCAAAAAAGUUUAUAAUGUUUUUUACAAUACAUUCAAGUAUAACUUCAUUCAAGUUUUACAUUAUUUCUCACAAGGCUUAUAAAGAAAGUUUCAUUGUUUAUAAGGUUAUUUCAUUACAACUCUUAAAACAAGACAGUUCGAAAAUUCAAAAACUAAAUCAAUACAAGAUGUUCCUAAAGGCUAAAUGUUUUCAAGCUUUUGAGUUUGUUUACUCCAAGACUUCUUCCUCUUCAAGAUUUAUUCCAAACUCUUAUGUGUUGUCCUACUAUGGCCACGGAUUCUCCCAAAGGAAGAUCUUCAUAACUUCACCAUCUUUCCAGAGUCUUGACAUCUUCAUCCAUUCCUCAAGACAAGCUCAUCACAUGAAAAUAAGAAAAAUAAGAAAUGUUAGUGAUCAAGAAACAAGCAUGUGA
Molecule: non-coding RNA, 489 nt
Organism: Vicia faba (fava bean)
Lineage: Eukaryota; Viridiplantae; Streptophyta; Magnoliopsida; Fabales; Fabaceae
Source: the annotation of a GenBank genome assembly